This is a long non-coding RNA of Heterocephalus glaber (naked mole-rat), 4885 nucleotides long. NCBI's taxonomy places the organism in Eukaryota, Metazoa, Chordata, Mammalia, Rodentia, Bathyergidae. The record is from Ensembl.
GCCGGGCUCCCGUGCAGGCUGGGUGAGGGCUGCGGUGCGACCCGACGACCGCGCAGAGGCAGAGGAGGGCGCGCGAGCUCGCGGAUGAGGGGCUGAGCAGGGCGUCGCGGCGGGGCGCUGGUCCGGUGAUCCCGACAGUGCCGCGGGAGAGGCGCGCGCCAGCCGGGACACGCGGGCGAGCGUCACCGAGCGCGGAGGGCCGGGCUCCCGCGUUCAGGCCCUGUGCUGCUGGGCGUGUGUGAAGCGUGCCCGCGAAACCGUCCCAGUUUAAAAAGAGCACAGUUCGCGAUUUGGCUGCAUAGGUUCAGUGUACUGCCAGUGCUUAUUGGCAUUUUCGUUUAUUUGUCCCAAACGUGUGCAUGGCCCCGAGAAGGAAGGCAGACCCCCGAGACAGGUCCAGGUCCCAGCUCAGUGGUGUUUGCAGUGUUUGGCCGGGGAAGACUUGGCGAGGGCCAGGAAGUCCGAGGCGAUGGAACAGGGCCGGGGACUCAGCUCAGUGGUGCCGCCGCCUGCUUCGCAAGCGCAAGGUCCCGAGUUCGAUCCCCGGUACCAAAAAAAAAGCGAUGGAAAGAACCACCUCUUGCUUCCCAUUUAGACCUGCCGUGUGCAGAGCUGAGGACUGGGUGUAGACUUCACAAAAUGAAGGGCGAAUUUGUCCGACCUGUUACUACCUAUUAGGUAUUUCUAGGCCCAACUGAAGAGUCAUGGUGUUUUGUUGUUGUUGACUUUGACAAAAACCACUUUUAAGUUGUUGACUGUCACAGAAGUAGCACAGACCAUGCUUAUAUUUCCCCUUGAGAUAGGGUCUUGAUACAUAGCUCAGGAGGGUCUUGAACUCACUGUGCACCCCAGGUUGGCCUUGAACUUGCAGGCAUCGUCCUCCCUCUGCCUGCCAAGUGCUGGAAUUGCAGGUGUGCACCAACACGCCUGGCUAAAUCAUGCUUAUUUUUUUGUGCCGGGGAUCAAACUCAGGACCUUGCACUUGCGAGGCAGGUGUGGUGCCACUGAGCUACAUCCCCAGCCCCUUAAAUCAUGUUGUGGUGAGUAACAGGCUAAGGAUCCCUGGAGUUUGUUUGUUUUUUCCAUCCCUGUGGUGGUCUCCGUGGUCCUCUCAAUAUCAUGGUCUCCAACUGUGUCGUGACCAGGAUGUCCCCAGCAUGUAAAAAGUUGCAGGAAGAGGACAGGAGUGGGCUGGGGGGCCUCCAUCAGGGUGAAAGGCUAGGGAGGACCUGCUGGUGGAGGGAGUGUCUGGGAGAAGCGUCUGAGCACUCUUCUUCAGGGGCUGCAGCUUCUCAGGGGCUGAAAACAACAGAAGGAACCGUGUUGGUUCUUGCAGGAGCCAAGCUGAGCCCACACCCUGAGAAACCAGAACUAAAGGAGCAGAUGGAAGAGAGAAAGUCUGCACAAGUGGAGGAAGAAAAUCCCCCAGAAUGGAUAAGGUCAUGGUAGACUAGGUGGAAACCAAAAUUGGGGAGGAAAAGUUGGAUAAGAAACUGUAGGGUGGGCUGGGAUUUAGCUCAGUGGCACCACGCCUGCCUUGCAAGUGCAAGGUCCUGAGUUUGAUCUGCAGUGUCAAAAAAAACAAGAAGAAAGAAACUGCAGGGAAGCUGAGGAUGGCGCAUGUCCUCCAGCCUUCCAGGCACAGCCUGCACCAAGCAGUGCGGUCAGGAGGGAAAGGGAUUCCACCGUGGAUUCAUGCGCCAGGUCAAGGAGCUCCCCUGGGUGGACUCAGAGCAGGAUUAUGUGGCCUGGAAGUGCCCAGUCCGAGGGAGGGAAGAGAGCACUGUGAGGGCCCGGCCCAGGCCCCAGGGACUAGAAUCUGGAGCCGCCCUCAUUGUAGGUGCCAGGCGAGUGUGAGGAGUGUGAGCAUGGGGGGAAUGCCUUGGCCAGAGAAGGUGGAGACCGCACCUUCAGCUGUUCUGCUGUGACUUAGGGAGGUGCAGGACGGGGGACUCCUGCCUCAGAACUAGUGAGAUUCUUCUGUCCUCCUCCACUUGCAACCAGUGAAGAUUUGGACACAGCAUCUCUCACAGACUUAGUAAUUGUUCAGGUUUUCUCACCCUGUGUUAAAACUUGGGAGUUUAGAUAACAGAAAGACGUUCUCACUUUCCCAAAGCUCUAGAGGGAGAACACAAGCAGUUUGAACACCAUGUGGCAUUUACCCUGCAGUAGGGGUGUGGCAGCACAGAAUGUGGUGGACAGGGCGGAGAUGCUGUGCUUCGGGACAGGAGAGCAGCAGAGGAGGCCCUGAGCACAGUCCCAUUUCACCAGAGCUUGCAGGUGGGCAUCAGCAGGCGGGGCUGUGUGGGCAGGCUGCUCUCUCAGGUGGUGACGGUUUCCUCUGGAGAAGGAGCCUGUGUGUGACAGGACACCCAGGACAUGUGGGCAGAAAUACCUUUGCAGUGAUGAGAUGUUUGCAAUCACGUCAGUGCUGUCAUUGAGCAAGCACUGUUCAGAUCCUUCUCCAUGCUGGGCCCUAAGCUGGAAACUGUGCAGACAGAGCCAAAGAAACUGUCAUCCCAGCAUCCCCAGAGCUCUCAGACACGAAAAGCAGCAAGUGAUGGGAAGGACUCGGACAAAGAAGCCGCUGCUGGGUGGGACUGCAUCGGUGUUUGUGUUAAUUCUCCAUCUGGCUUCUCCCGCAGCUGCCACACCUGUCUGAAGGUAAUGACUGUGACCUCUCAAAAUAUCACCACCUCCUUGGCUCCAGGUUGGCUGAAGGCCACUCACAUUGCUCAGGUCUGAGGAUGCAGGUGACCUCAUCAGUGUCCCCUGACCGUGUCCCUGUCAGCUGCAGAAACCAAGAGGCAAGGUCAGUAAAACUUACAGGUUUCUCCCUGCCAUGUUACCCUCAUGUUCUUGGCUCUGUCAGGUAAGAGCUUUUAAACUUCACUCUUCUGUCUGCAUGAAGGCAAAUUACAUACUGGUCAUAUUCCUCAAACUGUAAUACUUGUUUUAUCCUCAAAUUUGAAAUAAAAUAGGGUAAAAAAUGAAGCCCUUCAUAUAGGGGUGUGUGAGACUAAAAUUCAGGUUUUACGAUGCUCAAGUGGUUGAAGAACAUGUUUUUAUUCUGCUAAAACAAGAAUGAGCUAAUACCCCUGCUGUGCUCCUCUUGUUGGCCUUAUCAGAUAUAAAAGCUCUACUGAGCUCCAGAGCUUAGAUCUGCAGCAGUUUAGCUCAUGCAGUGCAUUUGCUGCCCUGUGCUUAAAACACUGCUGGUUACACAGGGGACGCAGAGUUGGGCACGGCAGCCCUUAGAGGAGCUUCGCGUAUUUGCACCAGGGUCACUAAGGACUGUCAGUACCUUCUGUGACAACAUCUCUCGUGGACAGUUCUGAGCCCACUCUGGAGAAAGGGAAGAGGACAGUGACGGGGCACAGCCCUGGGCUCUCUGCCUCCCAAAGAUUUAGGAUGAAAGGACCCUGGGGAAUCUCUUCGGGGAGUGUCCUACAGGUGAGGGUUCACACACACUUCGCAUGGCUCCCAUCCCUGGUUUCCUUUCACAGAUAAUCGUCAGAUUUAGCAACAUCAGGAGGAGCCAGCCAGACAUGGACUGCAGAGCCUCAGUUCAAGAUGCUGCUGAGAAAGUGAAGCAGGCAGGAGUCAGUGCCGGAGAGGGGUCCAUGUCGGUGUCGGGAGAGCGCAUUGGUGGCCUUCAGCAGUGGUGGUGAAUCCUGGAGAGACGUCUGUCCCCAGGAGUCCCCGAUGACAGCUCCAGAUGCCAGAUGACUAAUAGAACCACUCCCUUGUGUUGACCUCACAGGAAGGCCCGGGAUUUCUUCAGAAUUGGAGAUCAUCUGAAAACCACUGGCGUCCCAUGGUGUAAUUGGAGGAUGGUGUGGGGUGAAGGUGGCCUCCUUCUCAGGUGUUGGUCCAGUCCCCGUCCUUCCCUUGGACAUGGAUGCUCUGUGGUCCAGGAUCACACCUGUUGCCCCCCGAAUGAGGAAGUCUGACCACUAACCUGGAAAGUGUUGGCCACGCGAGCAGAGCAUCUCUGCAGAAGUCCUUGGAUGUACAUCUACUGCUACCGAGGUCACCAUGGCAGUACCACGCAGCCCCAGUCCAGGGGCUGAAGUGAAUGUUGUGGAGUUCAAGGAGUAUAAGUGCUCUUGGGUGGGAGACAAUGAACUGCAAUUUGAAGACCGCAGAUCAAGUUCCGUUAGACCUGAAGCAGCUCUUGGCUCCCUGGACACCAAAGUGCAGAAACGUGAAAGUCACCUUGUAGCCUGGGUUGGGCUUGAACUUGCAGCAUUCUGCCUCCUUCAGCCUCCUGAGUGGCUAAGAUUACAGCAGACGCCUGGGAGUGCAACCACAGGACUACCCACAGUGAGGGGUUCCAGGACGGUGACGGGAGUGAGGAGCCAGGUCUGCCUCAGCCCACCAGCCCUGAGGAGCAGCUUCCGGGUAAGAACCAACUUAGGAUCCCCUUCUGGUGGCCACAGUGCAGGACAGAUACCACCUGUGACCCUCAGCCUCUCAUGCUGUCCCUGGGGUAGGAAUGUGGGCUGUGGCUGAGGAAUGGGAAGACCCAGGUCCCCAAACUGCUCCCAGAGCUGCUGUCUCCUGAAAUCCCACCAUCACUCACUCUGCUGGGGCUUUAUCAUUCCUGUGUUCCCGUCCUCCAGCUGACCCGCUCUAGUGUCACUGGCGAGUGAUGCCCUGCGGUCAGUGAUGAUGGAAAUGAAAAUCAAAGCACAAAAAUUAUAGAAAAAAGCUUUCUGUGAAAGUGACAGAAGAUAAUGGAGGUACAGCUCGACGAGGCCCUGCUGGUCCCCAACAAGGAAAGGAAGGGGAAGGAGGGAAAGGAAGGGAAAGGAGGGAAAGGAGGGAAAGGAAGGGCCCAGGGCGGGCGGCAGAGGGGCCACACUGAUGCAGGUCAGCAGGC